Molecule: long non-coding RNA, 3087 nt
Filed under: Homo sapiens (human)
Lineage: Eukaryota; Metazoa; Chordata; Mammalia; Primates; Hominidae
Description: HSALNT0217698
Source: RNAcentral
AAAGGCACCAGAGAGUGCAGAGUCCAGCUCAGGAUACACCGGAAUCUACCAUAUGUAAAUUUUGCUGCUGCUGUCUCUUUGGAUUUGGGCCAUUUUUAAGAGGUGUAACACUCACUGUGAAGUUCUGUAGCUCCAUUCUUCAAGUUAGCGAGACCACGAACCUGCCGGAAGGAACCAACUCCGGACAUAGCAGAUCAAGAAGGCAGUCAGAAGUGGGCAAAAAAACUUUUUAUGGUUCACUGAGGACAAUCAACUCCUUCACAAUCUAGAACCCGAAGAUUGGAUCCUCUGAGACAUCAGAGAAAGAUUGCUUUAGCCAUCCUCACUGCAGUAAAACUUCAGGACCUCGAGCCUUGGGUUCAUAAUCUCACAACUGAGAAGGGUCCCUCCACACUGUUGAACUGUACACCCAUUGGAACCCUUAAGGUAAAGCUAACCAGGGAAGUUUCUCCCUAAGAAGAAGAUGGCAUCCUUGAUGCAAAAAGCUUUUCCCAACAUCACAGAUCAAGACUUCUAUUAUCAUGAGACUCUUAUCUUUGAAUACUUUUCCCCUUGCUUAUGCCUGUAUGAACAAUACAAGUGGAAAAGGGGUCUGUUGUGUGCACUCAUGGGGUAUACUUUUAGUUAUGAAGGAUUUUGCAGCCAGCCUUAUACAUGGAUAACCUUAUAUCUUGACAGAUGAAAGAUGAAGGCCCGAUGUAGGUGAGAAACAGAAACUUUAAUGGUACACACUUUGCCUCGUAAUCAGUCAGAAACAGAGCAUUGGUUCACUCCUCUUAACCCACAUCAUGGGUUAAAGAGAACAUUACCAGGAGAGCUUCACUCUUCUAGAAGGGCAUCAUUUGUUAGGUCCUUUUUUCCAUGGUUUCGAGUAAAAAAGGCAAUGAUGAGAAAUGUUUCCCUCAUGAUAGGCUCUAUAGCAGAUUCUACUGUAAAAGCCAUGGUUACACAGCAGACUUUAAAUUAUCUUGUGAAAAUUAUGCUAAAUAAUAGAACUGGCUAAACAGAAAACUAUCUGUGUCACUGUUGACACUUGUGGCCUAUAGAGAAAUAUAUCAAAAGUAGAUUACAGAGAUUCAGUUGUAAAGGAUUAGCAAAGAGACCACUUAAUUAAGCAAGUCGACUCUUUAGCUCAUUCUUUGAUCUAUUUAAUUUUAGGUGAUUUGGUUUAUGGGGGUCUUGGGUAGGGAGGAUACUCCAAACUCUUGCUAUUAUCCCCCUGAUAGUUAUAAUAGUAGUCUCCCUGGUAUGCUGUAUUCUCUCAAAAGUUUUAAAUGUUUGCAUGCAGCCAUCUCUAAAAUGUCAAAUGGUCUUUCUUCAACUGGAAUGACAAGAACUGAAAGAAAUGUGUGACCAUGACGACAUCGUAACCUAUGAAUGACCACAUUGAGACCAGAAACCCAAACUGAUGGUACUGAAAGUGGCACUAAAGCCCUUAGUUUUGGUCACACUUUCACCUAAGUGAGAACCUGACCCAAAAGGAGGAAUUUUUAAACAAAAUUAUGAGAGGCCAUUGUUUUGGACUGAGCUCAUGCACUAGGCCCCAAAAGGACCAGACCAAACCAAAAUGGAGUCACUCACGUUAAAUGUGAUGUAAUCAAACUAAGACUUUAAGGAAACACACAGAUCCUAGAACAGAUCAGGUUUUGUUUUUCUCCUGUAAACAGGACGUUCCAGCAUAAGGAGGUACCUUCUACUCAGUCCUUGCUCCUACCUUGCAAAACCCACUGUUCUACCAUUUCCCAGUGGGUUUAAAGACCAAAUAAGUAUAUUUACAAUGGUUACAGUGACAUCAAUGACUAAAGUUUUGAUCUCUCUAAUUUGGGGUGAAAUUGUUAAAUCAAGUUUAGCCUAAAGCUGCCUCCUUACAUAUUUUAAGUUCAGCCUAAAGGUUUCUCUGCACAUGGUGAACUACAACAAGUGGAAGUGUAAACAGACCGCAGCCUACACUUGUGCCAAUCACUGAGUUUUGGCCAAUCAAAUGUAGCCAACUGUUCAAACUGUUCAAAUAAGGCAAACACCAAGCUGUACCCAAUCCAGCUCUUUCUGUACCUCACUUCCAUUUUCUGUGUGUCACUUUCCUUUUUCUGUCCAUCAGUCUUCUUCCACCCCAUGGCUGUGCUGGAGUCUCAGAGUCUACUCUGGCUCAGGAGGCUGCCUGAUUCAUGAAUCAUUCAUUGCUUAAACCCCUUUACAUUUAAUUCAGCUGAAGUUUUUUUUAAUCAGUGGUAUGAUGAGAAUAAUCCUCUUGGGAUGGGGAUGGAGGCACCAUGGCACAGAAGUCAAUUCCGGGAGGAUUUCUUUUUUGAACUAUUCAUUUAUUUAGGAGUGCUUCUAUAAUGAAGUUACAUUCAAGCUGAGUCUUGCUGACAGGUACACAUUUCUUAGGUAGAGAAAAAUGGACAAAUAACAUGCAUAAAAUAGGGGAAAGAAAGGAUUUUAGGAAGAAACAAAUCAGACAAAAGAAAAAUGUUUUCAAGCAGUUGGGUGUGUUAGGAGAAGCUUCAAGGAUCUGAAGCAGAGAAGUGAGGCUGUGGGUUGGGGCAUGAGUCAGAUGCUAAUAACCUUCCCGAAUUGCUAAGGAAUUUGAACGUGAUCUGAUAUGAUUAAUGCCAUUAAAGGGUUUUAAACUGUGGACUUGCCUAAUCGUAUUAGACAGAGGACAAACCUGGGGCAUGAGAGACCAGCGAGGAAGCCUAUCCAACAGUUCUGGAGGGACCCAGUGAAGACCCACACUCACUGAUAAUAGGACCUAAGGGAGAACAUUGACAGGAAUGUUUAACUCUUUCCUUUCAGCCGGAGGUGAAGUCUCACAAAGUUAAUGAGGCUUAAGCUUCCGGGAACCUCAGUUGUUCCGGCCUUUUCUAAGCCCUGGGAGUAGCUCCCGGAAUAUCUUCUUAGAGUCAUAUGUUUUUGUAAAAAUAUGCAAAAUAAAAUGUUUUAAUUGCCAUCAGUUAAAUGUCUCUUUCCCCUGAAAUAUUCUUUCACUUUAAAAAUCAAAGUAUCUGUAAUUUUGGAAGCAAGUACAAUUUUUUGUUGUUAUUGCUGUUCUUAUUGAUGUUGGAGAACCUCAGAUUUUAAUUAAAC